UAAUUGAAACUGUAAUACUAGAAUCAUUCUUUGAUACAAGAUAAACUUCACAUAGCACAUUUUACUGUCAGCAGGUUUAAGUGAAAAUUAUACAUUUUCCUUGUUUAUUAUGGACCAAAUUCAGAUUUCUUGAAUAUUAUUGGAAAGUUAUUUCCAAACAUACUUUCUUUGUAAACUUUCUUGAUCUCUGCCAGUUCUUCCUUGUUUCUGGAGCAGACAAUCUCGAUGAGGGUCUCCUCAUCUGUUCCCAGUCCCUAGAAACACAAAUACCAGCAGCUUUUGAAAAACAAUGGAAAGUCUUAAAUCUGCCGAGGGAGGUCCUGCUUUUACUGCAACUCGCUCACGGGAAGCUCGGGAGUCGGAGCAGCUGGGAAAUCCUGCAGCUCUCCACACAAACAGAAAAGUCAGAACUUGGACGAUCGGCCUCGCAGGUUCAAUUCCCUGCAGUGGGUUUAGUGGCAUCUGCAGAUGAAUUCCUUCAACUUUAGUCAGUUUCCAAUCUGACCAGAAAACAUGCUGUAAUAGUUUGAACAGCUCAUGCAUGGACAGAAGCCAGCCAGUAACCUGAUAUCUGAGCUGGUUGUCCUGCAGAGAGAAACGCUGUAGAGCGUGAUGCCAAAGCAACACCAGCACAUAAAAACACGAGUCUAAAAGUUCCUAUAAAGAAAUGUUUGUCGGGAUUGUUCAUCCUCUGGAGAGCAGGGACAUGUUAAUGACUCUUUGGCAUCAGAUCUCAGUCCCCUUUCCAGACAGGAGGCAGGUGAACUGGACGUGCUCACCUUUAGUUUUGAUGGCUGUCUCGAUCCGGGCAGCAUCUUUGUCUGGGUCGAAGUCUCGUACUGGCACCACGGUGGGGAAUUUAGGCUCCGCUUCCUACAGAGGACAAAGACAGACACGUUACCUUUCAGUCUACUGCUGUUCUCAUGUAUGGUGGCCCCUGUGGGGGCAUAAAAACUACAGUUUGAGAUGAAGAAACCUGCAAAUAUGAAAACCAAAAGAUAACGAGUGCGACGCUCCGUCACCUCUCUGUGAUCCUCCCUGAACAUGAUACCCUGAUUACAGGCAGAGGGCAGCGAGGGUCUGCAGACAAGACUUUACCCAGCCACACCCAUCAACCAGCCGGCUGUUAUCACUUCUAAAGUCUCCUGAAGAAGCAGCAGCAGUGAGGCAGCGAGCAGCAGCAGCUCCGUUAUGAUCCAGGCUGGGACAGGGUGUGGUGUUUAUACACCAGCUGACUCACACACACUCCUCUCUGCCCAAUCAGACGGCCCGGAUGACUCAGUGGUCGAGACUUUUACACUUACAGACUGAACACAUUGACAUAAAUUCCUCACCGAGGCUCAGAUCGCCUCGCCUGUUUCCUGCCUUAUUCCAAGGUCAGCAGACAGUAGUGGUUUCUGAUUGGUUGGCUGUUGGCAGGUGUCCAGUAAAGUAGUAAACGUGGACAUCUAAAAAUCAGAGCUCGAGGUAUAAUAAACUCUGGGUAUCCAUAGCA
This is a long non-coding RNA of Micropterus dolomieu (smallmouth bass), 1495 nucleotides long. RefSeq lists it as uncharacterized. The transcript is spliced from 4 exons. The record is from RefSeq and is a predicted model, not a curated record. Lineage: Eukaryota; Metazoa; Chordata; Actinopteri; Centrarchiformes; Centrarchidae.